UGGGUUUGACAUCUGGCGAAUUUUCUGUUUCCAGAAAAUUCGCCAGAUGUCAAACCCAGGUAAGGUUCUUCGCGUAGCAUCGAAUUGAACCACAUGCUCCACCGCUUGUGCGGGCCCCCGUCAAUUCCUUUGAGUUUUAAUCUUGCGACCGUACUUCCCAGGCGGGACACUUAAUGCGUUAGCGGCGGCACCGAGGGAGUGGAUACCCCCGACACCUAGUGCCCAUCGUUUACGGCGUGGACUAC
RNAcentral lists this unclassified non-coding RNA (245 nucleotides) under uncultured Myxococcales bacterium. Its description in RNAcentral is "contains 16S-23S intergenic spacer region". The record is from RNAcentral. Lineage: Bacteria; Pseudomonadati; Myxococcota; Myxococcia; Myxococcales.